Mauremys mutica (yellowpond turtle) is the source of this 582-nucleotide long non-coding RNA. RefSeq lists it as uncharacterized. Lineage: Eukaryota; Metazoa; Chordata; Testudines; Geoemydidae. The record is from RefSeq and is a predicted model, not a curated record. The transcript has 3 exons.
AGUAGCCAGAUGUGCUGAUGGCCGAUUAAAGGGAAUCCACUCUCCCAACCGCCAUCCCAGAAGACUUCUCAGAGAGAGCACAUAGACAAUGGAGACUGCUCAACCAACAGGUCUUUCUGAUCCCCAUGUCACAACAAAGGUCUUUCCAGCAAACUGGAAGAAAGUAUAAAAGAGGGGAAGUGACAUCAUCAUUUGGACUUUCUCCCCCUCCCCUCAACUCAACACCAGGAAAAACAUCUGGAGGACAAAGACUUUGAACUGGGGGAGGAUAGUCCUGAGCUGGAAGGCAGUUCCAGCCUGUGUGUUGAGGAUCUGUGACCUGUUUGUACCAUCUGUCAGGACUCACUGAAAUCCCAGCUGACCUCCAGCCAUGAUGAGUUUCCACCUUCCGUUUGCUGUUCUUCUCUUGCUCUCCCUGGCUACUUCAGGCUAUGCAGAGAUGCCCAUAGAGAUCUGUGACCUAAUUCCCAUCUGUUGAUUUCCUGGCCUGCUCCAUGGAAUGUGCAAGACCGGGAAGACGUUUUGCAGCAUUGAACUCUGCGGAUGACAGCUACGGAAAUUGAAGAGGGUGCACAAGAUCUA